Molecule: long non-coding RNA, 335 nt
Organism: Mesocricetus auratus (golden hamster)
Lineage: Eukaryota; Metazoa; Chordata; Mammalia; Rodentia; Cricetidae
Exons: 2
Source: RefSeq, a predicted model, not a curated record
CACUGGUGACACACAAUCUUAAAGGGAUAGUCUCUCAUUCAUGAUUGGGAUCCAUAGGCUUCCAAAGACCAUAUGUGGGCCUCUAAGAUCGGCACCAUUCACCAACUUGCUUCCCACCGUCUCACCCGAUGUCCAUCACCUGAAAGCCGACGGAGAUUGCCAUGCAGAGCUUAUCACUGCAUCAGACUUCACUCUCCCCCGACCUCCCCAAGGUCCCACUCCAUUCUCACCAGCCACCAACAGUUCUUCAUGUCGAAUCCAAUGAAGUCUAAUACAUUAUGGCCCCUCGAUGUUUGCUGACAUACAACAAGACGAAAUAAAUCAAAGAGCUCUGA